This is an RNA transcript of Asparagus officinalis (garden asparagus), 1421 nucleotides long. It is a transcript of the gene named glutamine--tRNA ligase-like, with no coding region annotated. The transcript has 7 exons. NCBI's taxonomy places the organism in Eukaryota, Viridiplantae, Streptophyta, Magnoliopsida, Asparagales, Asparagaceae. The record is from RefSeq and is a predicted model, not a curated record.
AGCUGCGUGGUGGCGGGAGCGAAGAGCUGCGGCAGAUGACGGCACAAAUCUCGAGGCGUUUUCUGGCUAUUGGGUUAGACAAAACGGACGGCCGAGAACGCUUUAAGGAACCCUAAGGUCACGGCCAACCUCGGCAAGGUCAUCCAUGGGGCAAAUGUUGGGAAUGGUUGUAACAAGACAAUUGGAAAUCUUCUAUACACGGGUUGCUACGAAGUUUCCUGCUAAUGCACUUAACCAUCGGCCAUUUCUUCUCGAAUACAUUGUAUCUUCAAAGGUAUUAUAGUGCAUAAUGGCUCACCGGAGCACCAAACUGAAUUGCACCACACAAGAAUCUUGAAAUCUCCAAUGAAAGAUCUAAGUGUUUGAGAAGUGCUCAUACUUUAUGAAAAUUCAUAGAAACACAUCAGGGGAACUUCGAGGUGAUCAGACAAGCUUUGGAGGUUUUCUUUUCAAGUUCCAUUAGAGCAUCAUGCACAUGGACACUAGGCGAUAGCCAUGUGUUUGUGUUUUUCUAUUUAUUUUAGACAAAUAAUGCGUUGGAGAUUGGAUGGAAUCGAGCAUUCACGAUCAUAUCCGUUGGAGGUUGGCGGAAUAGUGGAAUGAAGCCUAGGGUUUCCCUAUGAAAAAGAAACCUUAUUUACGAGAUCAAUUUGAGCAGCUCUUCUCGUAAUUUUUUCUGAGAUGAAUUUCUUCAGUGGUGGCGGCGGCACUUCUCAAGGAUUUUGAGAAGGGUUUUUUGAGAAGAGAAAUUGAGCUGUGAUUUUAGAUUAAAAUCACAAGUGGUAUUUUUUGAGAGAUCUCAAGUUUGAGAUCUUCUCUAUUUCAAGCUUUGUAAUUUCUUGUAGUUAAAUAAGAAAUUAUUUGUGCGGCUCCCGUGGACGUAGGCAAGUUUGCCGAACCACGUAAAUCUGUUGUCUCGUCUCAUUUACUUACUGUUUUAUCUGGGUAUUCGUUAUUGCUUGUAUUGGUUGGUUUGAGUCCGACUUAAACUCAAGCUUGGGUUGUUUUCUCAAGGGAUUAAUUAGCUUCCACGGCUAUGUGGGCGUCUCGCGCCUACCAACAUCAUUGCAUUGCGGAUUCUCUUGAAAAUGUUACUCAUUCGCUAUGCACUCUCGAGUUUGAGAUUCAUCGUGCUUCAUAUUACUGGCUACUGGAUGCACCAGGACUUCACAAGCCUUAUGUCUGGGAAUAUUCAAGGUUAAAUAUUUUAAACACAGUGAUGUCUAAGUGUAAGGUGAGGUUGCAUCGGUCCUUGAGGCAGUAAAGUCUUAGCUGUUAAUGCUCGUUUUACCAUUAUUUGUCUUAUGUGGUUAUGUUUUGGCCCUUCAGUUAGUCACAGAUAACUGGGUAGAUGGCUGGGAUGACCCACGCCUAAUAACACUAGCUGGUCUUCAUCUUCUAUUAAUGCUUUCAUUCGAGGA